Paramisgurnus dabryanus is the source of this 524-nucleotide long non-coding RNA. RefSeq lists it as uncharacterized. NCBI's taxonomy places the organism in Eukaryota, Metazoa, Chordata, Actinopteri, Cypriniformes, Cobitidae. The record is from RefSeq and is a predicted model, not a curated record.
CCUUGAAUUUAAUAAAAUUUUGUUUUUGUCAAAAUAACUUGCAAAAUUUAUGAUAUUUCAUCAGGCAUGCAAAGACACCAGUGAAUUUAAGAUGUUUGGUUUUAUUUAUCUUAUCUGAAUAUCUGCUGUCACGCAUAACAUUCAUUAUUUGACCGUAUUUCAAAGAUAAACAAAAUCCAGUUACAACUCCGAACCGCUAGAUGGCAGCAGUACACAAACACGGGGCCAAAUCUCACGAGAAAGAUUUCCGCUGUUUGAAAAGCAACAACAUCAGCGAGCAGCCAUGAGGAAAGCAAUCUACCACACUCGUUUGGUUUUGUGUCAAAGCUGUGCGAAACUGGAGGGAGAAACUUGAGAGACCGUGCCGGAAGAAUGCUGGACAGAGUUCACUAAAAUUCAUUAAUUUCAAAGUUCAACAUGCAUGGUGGUGGUCCACUGCAGAAGCAAGCAUUUGAAAAAACAUCAGUUCUCAGUUAUUAAAGAGCGUGAACAGGUUGUGAAGUGGCAUGCAAAACACGUUCACA